AUGGACCUACCUAGUCAUUUCCAUUCAGUUUGCUCACAGGGUCAGAUAGCAAAUGCCCAUCCACUCCAUGUAUCAAAGGAUGUCAGUCAGGGAGAGGUAUUCAUUUUCUGCAUGAGAUGCAACAUCACGACUUUUCCCUCAUAUGGCUCUUGACAUCUGUUUCAUAAACUUACCACAUGGGAAGGGACAAGGAAAAGCAAGUUGUCAAGAAAAAAUCAUAUGACUUCAACAAUAAUAUACCAAAAUGCGUAAUCAGGGAGAGAAAACUGGAAUUUGGGAAACUGAAGGCACUUCUCUGUACAGGGGUUUACUGAAUAUAUCUUAAAAAAUAAUGUCUUAUGUACGCAUUUUUUAUUACAUAUUACUAAAGUUGCCACUUAAGGGAUACAAAAUAACAUGAUGUGGAUUUGCUUUUUUUUUUAUAUUUGAAUAAAGAUAUAGUAUUUUCUUAUAUACA
This 457-nucleotide long non-coding RNA is filed under the name Anas platyrhynchos platyrhynchos (common mallard). Its description in RNAcentral is "lncRNA (ENSAPLG00000020777.1)". The record is from RNAcentral. Lineage: Eukaryota; Metazoa; Chordata; Aves; Anseriformes; Anatidae.